UGUGGCAGACUAGUGCAAUAAAUUUAAGAUUUAUCCAUAAAGAUAACUUUCUUUAGAAA
Molecule: transfer RNA, 59 nt
Filed under: Dihammatus sp. UPOL A00599
Lineage: Eukaryota; Metazoa; Arthropoda; Insecta; Coleoptera; Lycidae
Description: tRNA-Leu
Source: RNAcentral